UUUGUUUAUUGUUAGUUCAUUAGCCUCAAACAAACGUUUUAAGGACUCAAACAACUGAUCCAUAACUUAGAAAUUUUAUUAAUCCAACAAAAAGAAACCCCAAUAACUUAAAAUAAGAUUUACUGCAACUCGUGCCUAUUCUACAUCUGCACCUUCCAUGCUAAAUUCUCAACUUUAAAAUACAGCAACCACAAAACAGUUCACCAACAACAAAAGUCUCCAUUUAAUACAGUCCAUGAACAAUAAUAAUUACCGUCACCAAAAACACAUUUACUUCACAAAACACAAUAAUGAAGUGCGGCCAUCAAACAACAACAGUAAGGCAAGACACUGCGCCACCUCCAGGUUUCUUCUUUUAAACAUAACUGAAUUUACAUAUUCAUAUAAUAAUAAACAAAACAACUGUUACUUUAUAAUUAUUAUAUCAAAAAACCUCUUAUAUUAAUUUAACCAAUAUUAAUUUCAUAAUAUAACACAAUAAACUAUCUUUCUUAUUAAACAACAAAAUAAAAUUAUCA
This 518-nucleotide long non-coding RNA is filed under the name Androctonus crassicauda. The record is from RNAcentral. Lineage: Eukaryota; Metazoa; Arthropoda; Arachnida; Scorpiones; Buthidae.